Molecule: ribosomal RNA, 404 nt
Filed under: uncultured bacterium
Lineage: Bacteria
Description: bacterial SSU rRNA
Rfam family: Bacterial small subunit ribosomal RNA
Source: RNAcentral
UCAGGAAUAUUGGACAAUGGGGGCAACCCUGAUCCAGCCAUGCCGCGUGAGUGAUGACGGCCUUAGGGUUGUAAAGCUCUUUCGCCGGUGAAGAUAAUGACGGUAACCGGUAAAGAAGCCCCGGCUAACUUCGUGCCAGCAGCCGCGGUAAUACGAAGGGGGCUAGCGUUGUUCGGAAUUACUGGGCGUAAAGCGCACGUAGGCGGACACUUAAGUCAGAGGUGAAAUCCCGGAGCUCAACUUCGGAAUUGCCUUUGAUACUGGGUGUCUCGAGUCCGAGAGAGGUGAGUGGAACUCCGAGUGUAGAGGUGAAAUUCGUAGAUAUUCGGAAGAACACCAGUGGCGAAGGCGGCUCACUGGCUCGGUACUGACGCUGAGGUGCGAAAGCGUGGGGAGCAAACAGG